Transfer RNA from Lactococcus garvieae Lg2, 74 nucleotides. It matches the Rfam family "tRNA". From Rfam's summary of the family: Transfer RNA (tRNA) molecules are approximately 80 nucleotides in length. The record is from Rfam. Lineage: Bacteria; Bacillati; Bacillota; Bacilli; Lactobacillales; Streptococcaceae.
GGGAGCAUAGCUCAGUUGGUUAGAGCACUGUGUUGAUAACGCAGGGGUCCGAGGUUCAAAUCCUCGUGUUCCCA